Molecule: ribosomal RNA, 986 nt
Filed under: human gut metagenome
Description: bacterial LSU rRNA
Rfam family: Bacterial large subunit ribosomal RNA
Source: RNAcentral
CGUAACUAUAACGGUCCUAAGGUAGCGAAAUUCCUUGUCGGGUAAGUUCCGACCCGCACGAAAGGCGUAAUGAUUUGAGCGCUGUCUCGACAAUGCACCCGGUGAAAUUGAAGUACCAGUGAAGAUGCUGGUUACCUGCGCCAGGACGGAAAGACCCCAUGGAGCUUUACUCCAGCUUGAUACUGGGAUUCGGUGUCGCAUGUACAGGAUAGGUGGGAGGCUAAGAAGGUAGGACGCCAGUCUUACCGGAGCCAUUGUUGGGAUACCACCCUUGCGAUAUUGGGUUUCUAACCUGCGGCCAUGACCUGGCCGGGGGACAAUGUCAGGUGGGGAGUUUGACUGGGGCGGUCGCCUCCGAAAGAGUAUCGGAGGCGCUCAAAGGUUCCCUCAGAAUGGACGGAAACCAUUCGAAGAGUGCAAAGGCAUAAGGGAGCUUGACUGCGAGACUGACGGGUCGAGCAGGUACGAAAGUAGGACUUAGUGAUCCGGUGGUAUAAAGUGGGAUUGCCAUCGCUCAACGGAUAAAAGCUACCCUGGGGAUAACAGGCUUAUCACUCCCAAGAGUUCACAUCGACGGAGUGGUUUGGCACCUCGAUGUCGGCUCAUCGCAUCCUGGGGCUGAAGUAGGUCCCAAGGGUUGGGCUGUUCGCCCAUUAAAGCGGUACGCGAGCUGGGUUCAGAACGUCGUGAGACAGUUCGGUCCCUAUCCGGCGUGGGCGUAGGAUAUUUGAGAGGAGCUGUCCUUAGUACGAGAGGACCGGGAUGGACUGACCUCUGGUGUACCGGUUGGGUAUCAAACCCAUGGCCGGGUAGCCAAGUCGGGAAGGGAUAAACGCUGAAGGCAUCUAAGCGUGAAGCCCCCCUCAAGAUGAGAUAUCCCAUCGCAAGAGUAAGACCCCUUGAAGACGACGAGGUAGAUAGGGCAGAGGUGGAAGCAUGGCAACAUGUGGAGCUGACUGUCACUAAUAGGUCGAGGGCUUAACCAA